This is a long non-coding RNA of Apis cerana (Asiatic honeybee), 4835 nucleotides long. RefSeq lists it as uncharacterized. The record is from RefSeq and is a predicted model, not a curated record. NCBI's taxonomy places the organism in Eukaryota, Metazoa, Arthropoda, Insecta, Hymenoptera, Apidae.
UCUCUCUCUCUCUCGCUCGGUCGACGCCGCUUUGGUGGAUAACACGUGGAAAAGGGGGCCCCAUCGUCCGAUUUUUCGCGAUAAAAUAUGAGCACGAUGGAGGGAUGGAGUAAUUUCUCCCCAAUAUUGGUGAGAUUAGACCGAUUUCUGAUUAAUUAUUCUUACUUGAAUUUGAUCCUUCGAUGCAGGAGAUAUUUUAAUAGGAAAGUGGACGAAUCGAGGCUAACUUGAAUAAUUCAAUCUGCAAAAAUCUUCAAAACGUUUAAAUUACAAUAAAGAAAAAAGAAAAAUAAUCCCUUUCUUAUUAUACUCGAAGCAAUUCUUGAAAUCUCAAAUGAAAUUUUUGAAAAAAAUCUGUCGAAUCGAAUAAUAUCCUAGACAGGGAUUCUUUGCAUAGUUUUCUACGAGGCUUAGAGUACAAAAAGAGAGAUGGAGCAUAAUGGGCCCACCAUUUGGCCCCUCGCGAGCGCAUUAUUGCGCGGCCUCCGUUGGCCGCGCGUGAGCAGGAGGCGAGCGCAUCUUUUAUUCAUCCGACAGAGUGGAGCCUUAAUUUGAAUUGAAUAGGAUUUAUAAAUUAUUUCAAAUUAUAGUUGCGACGCAUGACCGGUACGGAGACCAGGAGGAGAGACCUGGCUACCGGUUGCUGCGGGUAUCGUCGACAACGACGACGCUCUAAGCCGGUGGCGACGACUCCUGAGAAGAGUCUGGGCCCCUGCAACCUCUUCUCUCUUUCUCUUCAUCCAACUCGAGAGAUUCGGCGAUUGCAAUGACAGGUGUGGAAAGCGAAAUUUGAUUUGAUCGUUCGAAAUCGGCAAAGGAAGUAGUCCUAAUUUUGAGGUUCCAAUUAUUAUUAAAGAGUUACGAUGUUCAAAUUAUGAAUUUUUUCAGAGAAAAAUAAUCCUCGAGCUUCCGUAAAAUAAUAAUCAUUUCAAAUUAAUGUCAAGUAGAGAUUAUUUAAUUAUAGUUUUACAACAUUUUCAAAUCAAAUCAUUUCUCUACUUUAAAUGACCACGUGUUAUUUCCUUCAAAUAAAAAUUGCAAUUACAGUACACCUAAUUUAUAAUAAAUCAAACUUCUCUUUUUCCUCAAAAGAAAAAAAAAACAAGACUUAACAUCAUCCUUAAAAUUCGAGAUUCGUCUCUCUCCACUUCUCAUCUUUCCCAAGAAGAUAGAUAGAGAGAGAGAGAGAGAGGAGCAAGCCACGAUCGCGAACCUCCUCCCCCCUUUUCUUGCCGCGGCUUUUGCUCCAGGUUUUCUUACGUAAGCGGUCCGCGCAGGCAUCUCGAUCCGGAAUUCCAAGUCCCCCAAGAGCAUCGUUGCACCGAAGAAAAGUAUCUCUCCACCACCCCUUCGACCUCCUUCUUUCCUUCCCCUCCUCCUCCUCCUCCUCCUCCAUCGAUCCGUUCGGAAAAAAGGCGCGGGGCGCGAAGAAAAAGUUGAAUCGCGGGCCCCGAUGGAUACGUGGAGGCGAGCGGAGCGUGUAACGAGUUUCGAAGCCCAGGGCAAAAAGAGGAGAGAGGGGGGAGGGCGCCACUUUAUUGCUCCCGAUAGAAAUGUAUCGAAGCCGCCGCUAUUUGCCAACCUCUCUUCCCUUACCUCGUUGGAAGCCCAGGGUGUCCUUUCAUCUCACGAUCGAAACUGGAUUGCACGAUUCGACGAUAGUUUUCGAGAUGGCGGAUUUUUUUCGAGAUCGAUCGAAGUUUGUUUCGGGAGGUUUGAGCGAGCGAUCGUGGAGAAAGUGUGCGAAAAGAUGGUGUAAAAAUAAAGUUACUUUGAGUGAUUACUUGUCGAGUUUAUUCGUACAUCGCUGGAGAUUUUGGGAAUGGAAAUUUUUCAGGGACUCGCCGAGAAUGUAUCGACCUAACCUAAAAAGAGGUUGAUCAAACUUAUGCACGAUUGAACGCGAUAUUCAAGAAUAUUAAAUACCGUUUUCGAGUUCCCGCAAAGAGAAAACGCAUCGACUCCUUCCUUGGUGUCGCGCUUCCAGGUUGAAGAAAAGACUCGAAGAGAGGAGGGGAAGGAACAAAGGGUUCGCGAUGAGAGAGUAACGUUCGAGAACGACUCCGUCGUAAAUAUGGUAAUCCCAAAGUAUCAGCGCUACCCGGUGGGUCGGGGACGAUAACGACCAUUAUGCGAAUGCUCGACGAAAAGAGAAUUAGGGGAAUCAUUUGUUAGGCGAGCUGUCCGUCGCAGCUGAUAUAAUCCCCGGAUGUCGUCGGCGCCGAAAGACACUCCCCGCUAGCCUACUACACCCGCGACACACAACGUCUAAAACGACUUAGAAUAUCUAUCCUGUAAACCUGUUCCACCGGUACAACGGUGGAUCGAAAAGAGGAUUUGUGUAUUUUCGUCGAGUUCUACUCUUUUUUCUUUCUUUCUUUCUUUCUUUUUUAACGAAACGAAAAAAUGUAUCUCGAAUAUUUGCAAAGUGUCCAUUAGAUGGAUCUUGGGUAGAUAGGAAAGUCUAAUGGAUAGAUCUCACAGGUGGAUAGAGGUACACUUACUGGCCACGUGGCGCUGGUGUCGCAAAUAUCACACUAGUUGGAAAUAUCAACACUUUAUAUUCCCCUAAAAGGUUCACGAUCUUGCUAAAAAGAAAAACACUUGCUUCAAACACGUGUAUCCAUAUUACUAUCUAAACUAUCCAAGUGGUAACAGCCUCGAUAACUCGAACGUCCAAUCGUUCCUUCCUCCUUUCUAAACGCGCGAUCCCAUUGACCACAAAUCGAAAGAAACGAAUUUUCUCACGAGCGAUCGACACACAUCGAUCUCGAUCGGUCGAACGAUUACGGAUCCUGGAUCGCAGGGAUAGGUGUCCAUAUAUCUGUCACCCGGUUCGUUGACGUCGUCAUUCGCCAGCUGGUAUUACAUAUCCUCCCUCCUUCCCCCAUGGAAAGACGGACGGAUCGCGGUUUUGCCCUCAACGUUGGCCAGGUCAGGUUUUAUCCCUACGAGACGCUCUCCCUUUCCAUCCUUUCUUUUCAUCCACACCGGUUUUAUUAUAUAUAUAAAAUAAAAAACCUCGAUCGUCCGCGUUAUGAAUUACAGAUUGGCCAAUGCGUGAGCAAUGCGCGAGCAUCGAGUCGUGGCAGCACCGCGGGUAAUGCAUACUUGGCCAAGAGAAGGGGAGAGGAGAGGAGGGAAGGGGAGACUGGACUGUUGGUAUCCGUCAGUCUCGCGUAGGAUGAGUGGGACGAGGACGAGGUAAAAGUACGACGACGAUCCAUCAGAUUGUUACGAGCGGUGAAAUUUGCAACACAAACAGGUUGGCAAACUGCGAGCGGAUGCUGGCUCGAGAGCAAAUAAAGGAGCCUCCAUUUAUUAAGCCGGCAAUAAAAUAGCGCUUCUCUCCUCUUCGUUUCGCUGUCUUCCCUCUCGAUCCGUUCCGAGGCCCGUGGGUGGAACGUCGAGGUGGACCAGAGAGAGAGAGAAAGAGAGAGAAGAGGGGACACACGUCGGGGGACACGGCUGAUUUAUGCGAAAAUCGGGAGGGGGGACUCGGGACCGAGGAUUCGAGAGCGCAACACCGCCGCACGAGGUAAUGCCCUGCUACACACGUUGAAUCGGGUUAAUCCACCCCGAACCCUGUCCAAAGGGGGAAGAAAGAAAGGAAGGAAGGAAGGAAGGAAGAAGGAGAAAGGUGGAAGUCGGUAACGUUGGAUGAGGUCGAGUUGUGUGGAACAAUCGGUGGAAAAUUUUGCGGAAAAAUUCCAAUUCCCGCGUGUGGGAAUAUUUAUUUCAAAUAAGAGCGAACUAAGGAUGAAUAUGAAUUGCAAUACCCAAACUUGGUUCAUGAAUGUAUUAAUGAAUAAUGUAAUUUGAUCCACUUUGGAAACAUUUAUUGUAUCAUUUAUAGAAAAGUCUCAAUUUUGUAUUUUGAUGAAUAUGGAAACAUUUGUUAUAACUUUAGAUUGGAUAAAUGUAAGCUAGAACAAAAGUACCCAAGCUUGAUUAACGAGUGUAGAAACAUUUGUUACACCAUUAGGAAAGAAGUAUCCAGGCUUGAAUUAAUGAAUAGAAACAUUUAUUAUACCGUUGGAUGAGUGCAAAGUGUGCAAACUUGUGGAAGAAGAAUCUCAAUUUUGUAUUUUGCUGAAUGAAAACAUUUGUUGUAACUUUAGAUUGGAUAAAUGCAAAUUAGAACAGAAAUAUCCAACCUUGAUUAAUGAAUGUAGAAAUAUUUGUUAUAUCUUUGGAUAAGUGCAAACUUGUGGAAGAAGAAUCUCAAUUUUGUAUUUUACUGAAUGUGGAAACAUGUAUCAUUGGAUGAGUUUAAAGUGUGCAUUUAUAAAACAAAAGUACAGAGUAUUUUGGAAGCUUGAUUAAUAAAUUUAGAAACAUUUACUGCAUUAUUGGAUAAGUGCAAAGUGUGCAUUUAUAGAAGAAUCUCAAAUCUCUUUGUAUUUUGCUGAAUAUAGAAACAUUUAUUAUACCAUUAGAAAAGAAGUAAUGAAUAUAGAAAUAUUUAUUAUACCAUUGGAUAAGUGCAAAGUGUGUAUUUAUAGAAGAAUCUCAAUUUUACUGAAUAUGGAAAUAUUUAUUAUAACUUUAGAUUGGAUAAAUGCAAACUAGAACAAAUGUAUCCAAGUAUCGAAUAGAAACAUUUAUUGUACUUUUUAAUAGAUUAAUAGAAAUCUAUUGGAUAAGUGCUUGUAGAAGUACAAAUUAGAACAUGAAACAAAGACAUAUAGGUUAAGACAUUUAGGUUAAGUCAACUAUAAAUUGUACAUUUAUGGAAUUCAAUCUCAAUUUUGUUGAAUACAAAAACAUUUACUUGGAUAAAUACAAUUUAUAAAAUACAAAAUAUAUUAAUUCUUCAAUUAGUACGAUCAAUG